UGCUGCCAGUAGCCGUGUUCGGGGAGUCGCGAAGGCGUCCAGUCUCCCGAACGUGCCGGUGGUUUCAUAACGAAUCUGAGCAGGAGCAAAGGGUGAACUGAGAUGCCUCAGCCCAGGAGCCCCACCAGCCCUGGAGUCUGCGGGGGUCGCGAGACGCUCUUGCGCAUCUUCACCCACCAGGGCGUGCCCUGCUGAGUUCUCCGCUAGCAAGGGCUUCUGCAGAAUGGGGCCCUGGUGGCCCCAGAGCUUUCUUUCCCUGUUUUCUUUGGCACCGACCUGUACGACUCCUUUAAACUCGAUUUCACCACUUUCCCUGUGCAGGGUUUUGCCACAGCCCCCGCGUGGCGAGACUGGCCUGGACUUCUGCAAUGCCCUGGACGUGAAGCAACCCUGGGCACACCAGUCGGGGAGAGUUAGAGCGGGAGGCAGCCUUGCCAUUGCUCAAGUGUGGCUUUCUUCCACCAAGUUCCUGCAGCCCCUCCACCCUGCUCAGCCCUGCGCCUGCGGUUUUCAGGGGUUCUGCGUCCAGGCGAUACCCACUGGGGGUUUUCAGAGGCCAGUGCAAUUUAUUUCCAGGAGGCCGGUAUCCCAAAUGCUCUUGUUCCUCUUGGUGCCCGAGGCCUGCCAGCAUCCUCACCAAUCACAGUGGUCCCAGCUGCAGGGGUGCCCGUGCCCAGCAUCGGCGGAGGGCUGUUACCUGGUGCCACUUUGAGUUUGAGUCCUGGGAAGAAAGAGUUCUUGUUACAAUAGAUGCUUUGGAUCCUGUUUAUUGAAACCCUUCACACACAUUAUGUUCCUGAGUUUUCAUGCCCUGAUGAGGCGGGUGUUGGCAUCAUCCCCUCUCUUACAGAUGAGAAAACUGAGGCAAAGGCAGGUGGAAUGCCAGCGGGGGCAGAACCACACCUGAAACUCAGGCCACCUGCCUCCAGAGCUGCACAUAGUAACCACAGGAACAGUGUAUCCGUAUGGUGGAACUUGGGACAGGUGGUUCAGCAGACUCAGUCAAGCUUAGAUCAAAAACAUUCAGGAAAAAAAGAGGUUAGGUCAUUGCUGACGUGUACUGUGUAGUUAGGCCUGAAGGAAGGGCACCUGUGCGGAACAUGUGCAUCAGACUUUUUCAUGUGAUGAUCCCCUAAAUAAUAUAGAACAAUAACUAUUGACAUAGCAUUUACAUUGUGUCUGGUAUUAUCAGGAAUCUAGAGAUGAUGCAAAGUACACCAGAGGAUGUGCCUGCCAACACCAUGCCGUUUUACUGCAGGGCCUUGAGCAGCCGCAAAUUUGGGUGUCCGUGGAAGCCUCAGAGACCAUGCCCCACUGAUACUUGGAGGGGGGGGGAUUGUGCUCACUCUGGAAACAACUCAAGUUGAUGCCACCCCGAUAAUAUCCACAGGCCUUCCCCCGGGCUGUUUUCACUUUUCCAGAUUAUCCGAACAUGGCAGCAAGCAGUAACUGUUUCCGGCCCAGUGAGCGGGCGCCAUGGCCCAGGGAGGGGACAGCAGUUGGCCUCUGUGACAACUCGGUUCUCUGAGAGCCCCUUCUAAAUCUAGACCUUCCAGACCAAAUCUAGACUCUUCGUGUAAAGGCAGAAGUGGACUCCACUUUCAUUUGUGUUGGUUUACACUUGGCUAAUCCUUGGCUUCUCUGCCCAGGUCUCCUUCCCCCGCCCAUGAUUUCAUCAUCUCAGCCUCUCCUUUUCUCUCUCCUCCAACCAGUCCCUCAGUACCAUGUCGCCUUGGCCACUUCCCACGUUCUGUGGCGGAUCAGUGUGCACAGGCUGCUGUAACAGAACACUCCAUACUGGGUGGCUUAAACAACAGAAAUGCGUUGUCUCAUGGUUCCAGAGUCCGCAAGUUCAGAAUGAAGUUUUGAUAAGACAUUGAAGAGAACCAGAUCCACUGAUUUUCAUGUUAAAAGAGUGCUGAUCAGAAGAAUAGUCAGUAGUAUAGCUUCUGGCUAUGUACCUUCCAUCUUGGGUUUCUCUUUACUGCCCACAUACUUCCAGAUGCCCUAGGACAGGUCGGCGAGGAGAGGGGAUGGUGGGCCCGAGAGCCCAGGUGCUGGAACGCUGAGAGAUGGGCGAGGGACAGUCCCGGUGACAACCCUGUGCUGGGAAGGUUAGAAAUGCACGUGCGAGACCAGAAA
Phyllostomus discolor (pale spear-nosed bat) is the source of this 2142-nucleotide long non-coding RNA. RefSeq lists it as uncharacterized. The record is from RefSeq and is a predicted model, not a curated record. The transcript is spliced from 2 exons. Lineage: Eukaryota; Metazoa; Chordata; Mammalia; Chiroptera; Phyllostomidae.